Molecule: ribosomal RNA, 386 nt
Filed under: uncultured bacterium
Lineage: Bacteria
Description: bacterial SSU rRNA
Rfam family: Bacterial small subunit ribosomal RNA
Source: RNAcentral
GACGAACGCUGGCGGCGUGCUUAACACAUGCAAGUCGAACGGUGACGGAGAGCUUGCUCUCCUGAUCAGUGGCGAACGGGUGAGAAACACGUGGGCAACCUGCCCCAGACUUCGGGAUAACGCUUCGAAAGAGGUGCUAAUACCGAAUACGAACCUCCCUGGCAUCUGGGAGGUUGGAAAGUUUCUCGGUCUGGGAUGGGCCCGCGGCCUAUCAGCUUGUUGGUGAGGUAACGGCUCACCAAGGCGACGACGGGUAGCCGGCCUGAGAGGGCGACCGGCCACACUGGACUGAGACACGGCCCAGACUCCUACGGGAGGCAGCAGUGGGGAAUAUUGCGCAAUGGGCGAAAGCCUGACGCAGCAACGCCGCGUGAGGGAUGACGGCC